This 881-nucleotide ribosomal RNA is filed under the name uncultured bacterium. RNAcentral's name for it is "bacterial SSU rRNA". It matches the Rfam family "Bacterial small subunit ribosomal RNA", at positions 7 to 917 of the family's 1533-position model. The record is from RNAcentral.
GAGAGUUUGAUCCUGGCUCAGGAUGAACGCUGACAGAAUGCUUAACACAUGCAAGUCUACUUGAACUUCGGUUUGGGUGGCGGACGGGUGAGUAACGCGUAAAGAACUUGCCUCACAGUUAGGGACAACAUUUGGAAACGAAUGCUAAUACCUGAUAUUAUGAUUUUAGGGCAUCCUAAGAUUAUGAAAGCUAUAUGCGCUGUGAGAGAGCUUUGCGUCCCAUUAGCUAGUUGGAGAGGUAACGGCUCACCAAGGCGAUGAUGGGUAGCCGGCCUGAGAGGGUGAACGGCCACAAGGGGACUGAGACACGGCCCUUACUCCUACGGGAGGCAGCAGUGGGGAAUAUUGGACAAUGGACCAAAAGUCUGAUCCAGCAAUUCUGUGUGCACGAUGACGUUUUUCGGAAUGUAAAGUGCUUUCAGUUGGGAAGAAAAAAAUGACGGUACCAACAGAAGAAGUGACGGCUAAAUACGUGCCAGCAGCCGCGGUAAUACGUAUGUCACAAGCGUUAUCCGGAUUUAUUGGGCGUAAAGCGCGUCUAGGUGGUUAUGUAAGUCUGAUGUGAAAAUGCAGGGCUCAACUCUGUAUUGCGUUGGAAACUGCAUGACUAGAGUACUGGAGAGGUAAGCGGAACUACAAGUGUAGAGGUGAAAUUCGUAGAUAUUUGUAGGAAUGCCGAUGGGGAAGCCAGCUUACUGGACAGAUACUGACGCUAAAGCGCGAAAGCGUGGGUAGCAAACAGGAUUAGAUACCCUGGUAGUCCACGCCGUAAACGAUGAUUACUAGGUGUUGGGGGUCGAACCUCAGCGCCCAAGCUAACGCGAUAAGUAAUCCGCCUGGGGAGUACGUACGCAAGUAUGAAACUCAAAGGAAUUGACGGG